RNAcentral lists this long non-coding RNA (268 nucleotides) under Daucus carota (carrot). RNAcentral's name for it is "long non-coding RNA (DCAR_LNC006239)". Lineage: Eukaryota; Viridiplantae; Streptophyta; Magnoliopsida; Apiales; Apiaceae. The record is from RNAcentral.
GCAGAUUCAAUCUUGAUGAUUCACCAAAAUCAUAGUUGUGUUGAGUGUGAUGACUAGUAGAUCCACUUUGACUUACUCCCCCUGAGCUGAUGUAUAUCCUAUUUGAUGAUCCUCCACUUUGACCACUGUGACCAUGAUGAUCAUUUGUAUUGUUGCCAAUACUUCCUCCAGAUGGUUCAGGAUCAGCAUUCUCUUCAUUUGCAUUAGGAUCUCUUAUAUCAGCUUCAGGUUCAUCUUCUCCUAAGUAGAUGUCUUCUAAAUUCUCAAA